This 800-nucleotide ribosomal RNA is filed under the name Bacillus licheniformis. Its description in RNAcentral is "bacterial SSU rRNA". It matches the Rfam family "Bacterial small subunit ribosomal RNA", at positions 33 to 817 of the family's 1533-position model. The record is from RNAcentral. Lineage: Bacteria; Bacillati; Bacillota; Bacilli; Caryophanales; Bacillaceae.
ACCUUGGGGCGUGCCUAUAAUGCAAGUCGAGCGGACCGACGGGAGCUUGCUCCCUUAGGUCAGCGGCGGACGGGUGAGUAACACGUGGGUAACCUGCCUGUAAGACUGGGAUAACUCCGGGAAACCGGGGCUAAUACCGGAUGCUUGAUUGAACCGCAUGGUUCAAUCAUAAAAGGUGGCUUUUAGCUACCACUUACAGAUGGACCCGCGGCGCAUUAGCUAGUUGGUGAGGUAACGGCUCACCAAGGCGACGAUGCGUAGCCGACCUGAGAGGGUGAUCGGCCACACUGGGACUGAAACACGGCCCAGACUCCUACGGGAGGCAGCAGUAGGGAAUCUUCCGCAAUGGACGAAAGUCUGACGGAGCAACGCCGCGUGAGUGAUGAAGGUUUUCGGAUCGUAAAACUCUGUUGUUAGGGAAGAACAAGUACCGUUCGAAUAGGGCGGUACCUUGACGGUACCUAACCAGAAAGCCACGGCUAACUACGUGCCAGCAGCCGCGGUAAUACGUAGGUGGCAAGCGUUGUCCGGAAUUAUUGGGCGUAAAGCGCGCGCAGGCGGUUUCUUAAGUCUGAUGUGAAAGCCCCCGGCUCAACCGGGGAGGGUCAUUGGAAACUGGGGAACUUGAGUGCAGAAGAGGAGAGUGGAAUUCCACGUGUAGCGGUGAAAUGCGUAGAGAUGUGGAGGAACACCAGUGGCGAAGGCGACUCUCUGGUCUGUAACUGACGCUGAGGCGCGAAAGCGUGGGGAGCGAACAGGAUUAGAUACCCUGGUAGUCCACGCCGUAAACGAUGAGUGCU